GCAAACUUGGUCAUUUAGAGGAAGUAAAAGUCGUAACAAGGUUUCCGUAGGUGAACCUGCGGAAGGAUCAUUAAUGAGUUUAAUCAUUGGGGCUUGUAGCCAUGUGUGCUCGCUCCUUAAACCAUCCAAACACCUGUGCACCUAGAGGGGGUUAUCCCCUUUGAUUUUUUAUACACCUCUUACUAUAAUAAUGAACGUGCAAUUAGUGCCGCAAGGCCUUAAUAAAAACAUUACAACUUUUAACAACGGAUCUCUUGGCUCUCGCAUCGAUGAAGAACGCAGC
Molecule: unclassified non-coding RNA, 283 nt
Filed under: uncultured fungus
Lineage: Eukaryota; Fungi
Description: partial contains small subunit ribosomal RNA, internal transcribed spacer 1, and 5.8S ribosomal RNA
Rfam family: Eukaryotic small subunit ribosomal RNA (bases 1-73)
Source: RNAcentral